RNAcentral lists this ribosomal RNA (492 nucleotides) under uncultured bacterium. RNAcentral's name for it is "partial 16S ribosomal RNA". It matches the Rfam family "Bacterial small subunit ribosomal RNA", at positions 29 to 507 of the family's 1533-position model. The record is from RNAcentral.
AGUGAACGCUGGCGGUAGGCCUAACACAUGCAGGUCGAACGGCAGCACAGUAAGAGCUUGCUCUUACGGGUGGCGAGUGGCGGACGGGUGAGGAAUACAUCGGAAUCUACUUUUUCGUGGGGGAUAACGUAGGGACACUUACGCUAAUACCGCAUACGACCUACGGGUGAAAGCAGGGGAUCUUCGGACCUUGCGUGAUUGAAUGAGCCGAUGUCGGAUUAGCUAGUUGGCGGGGUAAAGGCCCACCAAGGCGACGAUCCGUAGCUGGUCUGAGAGGAUGAUCAGCCACACUGGAACUGAGACACGGUCCAGACUCCUACGGGAGGCAGCAGUGGGGAAUAUUGGACAAUGGGCGCAAGCCUGAUCCAGCCAUGCCGCGUGAGUGAAGAAGGCCUUCGGGUUGUAAAGCCCUUUUAUUGGGAAAGAAAAGCAGCAGGUUAAUACCCCGCUGUUCUGACGGUACCCAAAGAAUAAGCACCGGCUAACUUCGUG